UACGGUGAUACUGGAUUUCAUCUAGGAAUUCAAUACACGGAUGCUCUUUUGCCACCAAAAGCCCGCAAAACACUAACAAUGCUCGAUUACUAUGCACACUGCUGUCACUACAAGCCUGGUCAGUACAAUCCAUACUUAUGUUGUGGGAGAGGUUCCAAUCAAAUAGAAGUAAACCCAAUCAAAUAGAAGUAAACCGUCUAUGGUACCUUGUCUGUAAACAGGACGAAUUUAGAUCUGACAAUUUCCAAACUAUGAGUGACGCUGUUGGAAAAGGUUGUAUCGAUGGUGAAAAGAUAGGUCAGAAAACUGUUCUGCCUGGAAGUUUUACAGGAGGUCAACGCUAUUAUGUCCAGCAUUACCAAGAUGGCAUGGCCAUUUGCCGGGUCCAUGGUGGACCUGACAUCUUUAUCACCUUCACCUGCAACACGAAAUGGACUGAAAUUAGUGAGGCGCUCUGCUACGAACCAGGUCAGGUCCCAUCCGAUUGACCUGACAUUGUUAAUAGGGUAUACAAAAUGAAACAAGAUCAUUUCAUUAAAAAGAUUAAAAAGGCAAAGUAUUUGGUCCCGUAGCAGCAGGUAUGUUCCUUUGCACUUAAUAUUUUGGUCCAUGUUUUCCAGAACCGUUUACUUAUACUUUUUACGUAUUCUUCUUGGCAGUGCUACACAACACUGAGUUCCAGAAGAGAGGACUACCACAUGUGCACUGUCUUGCUUGGCUUAAAAACAAGAAUAAAAAGGAUACACUAGCCACUAUAGACUCCCUGAUUAGUGCUGAGAUACCUGACGUGAUUUCAGACCGAUAUGCACUUGUUUCUGAAUUUAUGAUGUUGUGGUUCUAUGAACAAAAAAUGCUCAUGUAUGAAAAAUGAUGUAUGUUCUAAGCAUUACCCUAAAUCGUUCCAAGAUGAGACUUCAAUUGAUGCACAGGGUUUUGCAAUUUACAGGCAUCGCAAUGAUGGUCGUUAUAUUACUAAAAAUGGUCACUGUCUUGAUAAUAAAAAAUAAAAAUGCCCUUGUAUGAAAAAUGAUGUUUGUUCUAAGCAUUACCCUAAAUCGUUCCAAGAUGAGACUUCAAUUGAUGCACAGGGUUUUGCAAUUUACAGGCGUCGCAAUGAUGGUCGUUAUAUUACUAAAAAUGUUCACCGUCUUGAUAAUAGAUAUGUUGUUCCGUAUAAUAUAUACCUUCUUAAAAAAUAUCAGGCUCAUAUCAGUACUGAAUGGUGCAACAAAACAAGAGUCGUCAAGUAUCUUUUCAAGUAUUGUCACAAAGGGCAAAGUACUUUGAUUGGUUGCAGCACUGAUGUUGAAACUCAACAUUAUUCAUCAGAACUGAGGUGUAAGCUCAUUGUUCAGAGAUCAGAGAACUCACAAAGUAAUCAAAGCACCUGCUGAUGGUACUAAUAUUGACAGAUUUGUAAUAGUCUGUUGAUCAUCAUCUCUCCCUUAUUCAUGUUAGAGGUAAUCCAGUGACAUUAUCUAUGAUGGUCUUAUAUUAUGCCUACUCUCCUUGUGUUGAUUGGCAAUAUUCUCCUGCCAGUAUCAAAGAAAAUGAAUGUGUAGUAAAAAAUGCAUUCUUGAUUAUUUUAUUGCAAUGAUGAACUGCUGAUCCAUAUUUGGCAAGUAAGAGUGUAAUAGUUAGUUUCUUACUGUAGUUCAUUAGCACUUACCACAUCUCAGUCCCUUCUAUAAGGAUCCAGAAAAACAUUUCUUAGAUGAGCUUAAAUAAAUGAUUUUAGAUGGAGGACAGAGUGGGAUAACACCAUUGUAAUACACUUCUCAUUUUUGCCUCAACAAGUUCUGAAAUCCUUGUAAGUUGUAUCCCACUUGAUCCUACUAAUAUCUGAAUGACUAGCAAUAUUCAGACAGUGUUUGUAUCUUUGUUGGUAAUAAAUCACUAUCUUGGUUGCCAUGAUUUUACUUUGGUCGGCCUGCCAUAGUUGAGGCAUCGAAUCGACAACAGGAGGUAGAAGGUGGCACAUCAACCAGGUAAACUCUCCUCGCCUUCAUAUUGUCUAAGCUUCACUUAAUCCCUAGAAAAUAUAAUUCCAUUCUCUACUCCCCUUCCUCUAGACGGUGCCACCCCUAAACAGUUCAGAUUUGUUGCCGAAACACUGGGACUGCUAUCUCUGACCAGUCCUACCUCAUGCUUGCUAUUCCCCGGCGCCACCCCUAAAUAGUUCAGUAUUCGGCUCCUCCAUGUAUGACUGCCUUUGAUAAGUUUCAAUUUGGUUAGCCAUUCCAAGAGCUAAGGUGUUUCUUCAGAUCCAGUUUUCUUGCUUUUCUGGGAAAUAUGGGCACUACAUGGAGAAGAGUUCUUCAGAUUUGAAGUCAACUACACAUGCUCUUCAUUCAUUUCCUGUCUAAUGAAAUGACACUGAAGGCUCUUUUCAGCAACAUGGAGGACUCUUUACAAAUCUGAAUUUAUUUUGUUGGUUACUUGGUAACUGGUUAGGGUCUUCUCACACGAGUAUUGAAAAUUUUAUUAAUUGAGGUUUGAGAAACUGAAUUGGGUAGCUUUCGCAGGUGAGCUUACAUAUGGACCAUGUCAACACCUUGUCUGCUUCAGCCUUGGCCAUGUAAGCAACUGCUACCAAGAACCUAUCUGGAAGUUGUGGUGAUGGUCGCCCACAGAAAUGGAUGAGGAGAUGGUGAAAGUGAUCGAAGGGGAGGAGCAGCAGACCUAUCGUUGCUGUCGUGCCUCAGGUGCAACCCUAGCGCGCCAUUGGAAUAGGGGCGUGCGCCAUGGAGAGGAGAAGCUAAAAUUCUGGGUGUGUGCAAACCGAUAGAAUGUCGUACCGUAUUGAUGCUUUUGUAAGCUUUUUACAUCUAAUUUAUGUCGGUAGGGGGUUUCACUACCAAAUAGAUUUAAAUUUUAACUUCCACGUAACUCAUUGUGUCAAUUCUUAUUAUACUAUUGUAUAAAAAAUUCCGAUGUUCAAUUGCAAAUCGGUUGAACCGACAUUGAA
Molecule: long non-coding RNA, 2968 nt
Organism: Brachypodium distachyon (stiff brome)
Lineage: Eukaryota; Viridiplantae; Streptophyta; Magnoliopsida; Poales; Poaceae
Exons: 2
Source: RefSeq, a predicted model, not a curated record